GGCUGUGUGGUCGAGCUGGUAUGGUCUCGCUUAGGGUGCGAGAGGUCCCAGAGUUCAAUUCUCGAGCUUUGCAGCCC
Perkinsus olseni is the source of this 77-nucleotide non-coding RNA. NCBI's taxonomy places the organism in Eukaryota, Perkinsozoa, Perkinsida, Perkinsidae. The record is from the annotation of a GenBank genome assembly.